Molecule: ribosomal RNA, 211 nt
Filed under: uncultured bacterium
Lineage: Bacteria
Description: partial 16S ribosomal RNA
Rfam family: Bacterial small subunit ribosomal RNA
Source: RNAcentral
AGUUCAGAUUGCAGUCUGCAACUCGACUGCAUGAAGUCGGAAUCGCUAGUAAUCGCGGAUCAGCAUGCCGCGGUGAAUACGUUCCCGGGCCUUGUACACACCGCCCGUCACACCAUGAGAGCCGGUAAUACCCGAAGUCCGUAGCCUAACCGCAAGGAGGGCGCGGCCGAAGGUAGGACUGGUAAUUAGGGUGAAGUCGUAACAAGGUAGC